GGGGGGGAGAUCCAGGAACGAGCCUUUCAACCAUACCAAAACCACAUUUCUUUAAUCCAAGUUCCUCAUGAAAGCUCACCAUUAAACAAAGGCUGCCUUAAACAAAGAUAUCCAACCAUAGCUAUUGGAAACUUACAAAAGAAAACCUCAAAACAUCCAUCGACAAUACCACCAAAGUUACUCAAGAUUGGCCAUAGCACCACCACCGUGCUAUUGUUCCGUUGGUGCUGGGUGUACCGCCACAGCAUCACUGCUCCGUCAAGCUCCGCUCAAAAUGAUUUUGUUUUCUUCACAUGCUUCAAUUUUAAUUUAUUUCCUGCCACAAAUCAAAGCUAAAAUAAAUUAGAGUUUUAGACUGUAUUGGUUUAUGAACCAAAAUCGAGAGGAGGUUCAUCGAGGUUUCAUCAGCGGGGCCUUCGGUUCGAGGUUCGUGGUUCCGAGUCCGAUUUGCUGCCGUCUGCUCGUUCAGAUUUUAGACUCACAUCUCGCUCGACUAAGUUGCUGUAAUUGUUGAAAUCCUAUUAAUUGAAAGGUUUUGAGCCCCUCAAAAAAGGAUAGUAGAAGAAAGCACUGUUAAACAUAUUGCUCGGAGAAUAUCAAUCCAAGAUGGAGAUAAAAUGGAUUUGAUAAAUCAAUACUUAGAAGGGUUGAAAAGAAAUCUGCUCCAAUCACUAGAUCAGUGUGAAAAAUCAGACACUUCAAUGAGAAGUGAGACGAGUGGUGAUGACCUCGUAGAAGAUACUCAACCUAUACAGCCAGAAAUGAUAUUAUCUGACAGAGAAAUCGACAAGGUGGAAGAAUUCCUCCAACAGAUGCAAAAUAUGGACAAAAAGAAGACUUGACAGCUUAUCAGCCGCCAGGACCCACUUAAACAGUAGAUACACUGUUCAUCAACAGUAGAAACACUGUUUAUCUACAGUAAAAACACUGUGUAGGAACCCAUAUGUGGGACCCAUUUUACUAUUCAAGAUUCUUUUUUUGGUUAUUUAAGAAUGCUUCUUCAUUUGAAGAAGAGAAGGCUGGAACCCCCCCUCUCUCUCUACUUUCUCUCUCCUCUCUCUCUCUCAACCAACCCCCUUUGUAAACACUUAGUUCAUAGCUUAGUUUGUAAAUCGAGUUCAAGAAUUAAUAAAAGUUUUGAAAUUCAUCUUCAGGGCCUUGCUUCUCGGCCUA
Long non-coding RNA from Nicotiana tabacum (common tobacco), 1173 nucleotides. RefSeq lists it as uncharacterized. NCBI's taxonomy places the organism in Eukaryota, Viridiplantae, Streptophyta, Magnoliopsida, Solanales, Solanaceae. The record is from RefSeq and is a predicted model, not a curated record.